RNAcentral lists this ribosomal RNA (235 nucleotides) under uncultured bacterium. Its description in RNAcentral is "partial 16S ribosomal RNA". It matches the Rfam family "Bacterial small subunit ribosomal RNA", at positions 57 to 305 of the family's 1533-position model. The record is from RNAcentral.
GCAAGUCGAACGAACUUAGGCCUAGCUUGCUAGGAACGGUUAGUGGCAAACGGGUGAGUAACGCGUGGGAACCUACCUUGUAGUAUGGAACAGUCCUGGGAAACUGGGUUUAAUACCAUAUACGCUCUACGGAGGAAAGAUUUAUCGCUAUAAGAUGGGCCCGCGUUAGAUUAGCUAGUUGGUGAGGUAAAUGCUCACCAAGGCGACGAUCUAUAGCUGGUUUGAGAGGAUGAUC